Molecule: ribosomal RNA, 257 nt
Filed under: uncultured bacterium
Lineage: Bacteria
Description: partial 16S ribosomal RNA
Rfam family: Bacterial small subunit ribosomal RNA
Source: RNAcentral
UACAGAGACCUCAAGCGUUAUCCGGAAUCAUUGGGCGUAAAGCGUGCCGAUAGGUGGUUUUACAAGUCAGAAGUGAAAUCUCAAGGCUUAACCUUGAGACUGUCUUUUGAAACCGUAAAACUUGAGGGGCAAAGAGGAAGCUGGAACGAACGGUGUAGUAGUGAAAUGCGUUGAUAUCGUUCGGAACACCAAUAGCGUAGGCAAGCUUCUGGGUGCCACCUGACACUGCUAGGACGAAAGCGUGGGGAGCGAAUGGG